Non-coding RNA from Oryza glaberrima (African rice), 174 nucleotides. The record is from Rfam. NCBI's taxonomy places the organism in Eukaryota, Viridiplantae, Streptophyta, Magnoliopsida, Poales, Poaceae.
AACCACACUAUUAAUAAAUGGAUUCACGCGUGAGAUGAUGUGGUUAUUUCAUCUAGGACGAGGACAUGGCACCCUAUUACCAGCCAUCACACGAAAUUAAUAUAAUGCCACGUCCUCAUCCUAGAUAGAACAACCACGUCAUCUCACAUAAAUCCAUUCAUCGAUAGUGUAGUU